AUUGAACGCUGGCGGCAUGCUUUACACAUGCAAGUCGAACGGCAGCGCGGGCUUCGGCCUGGCGGCGAGUGGCGAACGGGUGAGUAAUGCAUCGGAACGUGCCCAGUAGUGGGGGAUAGCCCGGCGAAAGCCGGAUUAAUACCGCAUACCACCUGAGUGUGAUCGCGGGGGACCGAAAGGCCUCGCGCUAUUGGAGCGGCCGAUGUCGGGUUAGCUAGUUGGUGGGGUAAAGGCUUACCAAGGCGACGAUCCGUAGCUGGUCGAAGUGGCCGACCAGCCACACUGGGACGGGGACACGGCCCAGACUCCUACGGGAGGCAGCAGUGGGGAAUUUUGGACAAUGGGGGCAGCCCUGAUCCAGCCAUGCCGCGUGCGGGAAGAAGGCCUUCGGGUUGUAAACCGCUUUUGUUCGGGAAGAAAUCCUCUGGGCUAAUACCCCGGGGGGAUGACGGUACCGGAAGAAUAAGCACCGGCUAACUACGUG
This 484-nucleotide ribosomal RNA is filed under the name uncultured bacterium. Its description in RNAcentral is "partial 16S ribosomal RNA". It matches the Rfam family "Bacterial small subunit ribosomal RNA", at positions 28 to 507 of the family's 1533-position model. The record is from RNAcentral.